CUGAGUACUACACUCUUCUACCCUUUGUGAACUAUUAUACCUGUUGCUUCGGCGGCGCCCGCGAGGGUGCCCGCCGGUCUCAUCAGAAUCUCUGUUUUCGAACCCGACGAUACUUCUGAGUGUUCUUAGCGAACUGUCAA
Molecule: unclassified non-coding RNA, 140 nt
Filed under: soil metagenome
Description: partial internal transcribed spacer 1
Source: RNAcentral